CGCCGGCGCCUCCCCGCCGCCCCCGCGCUGCCCCCGGCCCGCGCCUCCCCGCUCCCCUGCGCGGGGCCUCCGCGGGGGUGGCCCGGGGAGCCCAGGCGGGACGCGCUCUCUGGGCGCAGGCUCGCUGAUAAACUUUUGGUCCGGUUCAUCACUCAUGUCACAGCCCUAGUGACGUGCGUACUAUUAUUAGCGUCACUUAGAGGUGAGGAAACAGGCUCAAAAAAUACCAAGUUACGUGCUUGAAGUCAAACCGAAGGCAGAGCUGCGAAGCAAAUCCAAGUCUGUCUUGACACAGCUGUGUGUCCUACUUCUCUUGGAUCAGCCUCUUCCCGGCUUUCAUUCCCGUGAGCAGCAAACAGCGCUCCCGGGGACAUCUGGGCACUCUCCCUUCUAACAAUGGAGAGGGGACGCAGUCAUUUUAGUUCCAGAACCAAAGGACAUUUAGCAGCAGCCUAGAGUGAAGACGGCAGUAGGAGACCUGGGUUACUUACGUAGAUUCCAAACAACAAUGCAGGAAUCCACAUACGGUGACGUUUGCAGCACUGUAGGAGUUAACCAGGCACGUUCACGCGUAUGGUGUCACAUCGGAGUCUCUCAGCAGUUCUGCACUGAGAAUAGCAGUUCCUGUCAGGGCGCUGGUGGUUGGCCAGCACAGAGCGCUGGUUGGUGCAUGCUUCUCCGCAGAUGUUGCCAAGUGUACAACAUGGAGGAAAAAGGCUUCAAGCAAUUGGGAGAGAAGUAGGCAACAUUAGGUCACUAGGCUCAACGGAGGGAGAAAAGAAGAUUCUGGAAAAUUCACUGGAGGGUUGAUAAGAACAGUUUAAUUAGAUUUUUUUUUUAUUGUGAAAUAUACAUAACACAAAAGAUGCCGUUUUAACCAUUUUUAAGGGUACAACUCAGUGGCGUUAAUUAUUGAAAAUGUUGUGUAACCACCACCAUGAUCUAUUUCCAAAACUUUUCCAUCACCCCAGACAGAAACUCUGAACCCUUCACACCAAGAUUUCCUAUACCCCCUUCCUCCAGGCCCUGAUAAACACUAGUGCACUUUCUGUCCCUAUGAAUUUGUCUAUUCUUGAUAUUUCAUAUAUUCUAUAUUUCAUACAGUAUCUGUCCCUUUGCGUCUGACUUCUUCCGGGGUUCAUCCCCGUUGUAGCAUGUAUCUGAACUUCAUUCCUGUUAACGGCUGAGUAUCCUAUUGUAUGUUCCUACCACAUUUUGUUUAUCCAUUUAUCUGCUGAUGGACACUUGGAUUGUUUCUACCUUCUGGCUAUUGUGAAUAAAGCUGCAAUGAACACUGGCUUACA
Molecule: long non-coding RNA, 1304 nt
Filed under: Ursus americanus (American black bear)
Lineage: Eukaryota; Metazoa; Chordata; Mammalia; Carnivora; Ursidae
Description: lncRNA (ENSUAMG00000009391.1)
Source: RNAcentral